This 292-nucleotide ribosomal RNA is filed under the name uncultured Alphaproteobacteria bacterium. RNAcentral describes it as "partial 16S ribosomal RNA". The record is from RNAcentral. Lineage: Bacteria; Pseudomonadati; Pseudomonadota; Alphaproteobacteria.
GGACUACCGGGGUAUCUAAUCCUGUUUGCUCCCCACGCUUUCGCACAUGAGCGUCAAUGCCAGACCAGGUAGUCGCCUUCGCCACUGGUGUUCUUCCGAAUAUCUACGAAUUUCACCUCUACACUCGGAAUUCCACUACCCUCUUCUGGAUUCUAGCUCGACAGUCUUAAAAGCAAUUCCCAGGUUAAGCCCGGGGCUUUCACUUCUAAUUUAUCGAGCCGCCUGCGUGCGCUUUACGCCCAGUAAUUCCGAACAACGCUAGCCCCCUUCGUAUUACCGCGGCGGCUGGCAC